UAGGGAAUCUUCCGCAAUGGGCGAAAGCCUGACGGAGCAACGCCGCGUGAGUGAUGAAGGUCUUCGGUUCGUAAAACUCUGUUAUUAGGGAAGAACAAAUGUGUAAGUAACUAUGCACGCCUUGACGGUACCUAAUCAGAAAGCCACGGCUAACUACGUGCCAGCAGCCGCGGUAAUACGUAGGUGGCAAGCGUUAUCCGGAAUUAUUGGGCGUAAAGCGCGCGUAGGCGGUUUUUUAAGUCUGAUGUGAAAGCCCACGGCUCAACCGUGGAGGGUCAUUGGAAACGGGAAAUCAUGAGUGCAGAAGCGGAAAGUGGAAUUCCAUGUGUAGCGGUGAAAUGCGCAGGGUUAUGGGGGAACACCAGUGGCGAAGGCGACUUUCUGGUCUGUAACUGACGCUGCUGUGCGAAAGCGUGGGGAUCAAACAGG
RNAcentral lists this ribosomal RNA (429 nucleotides) under Actinomycetes bacterium. Its description in RNAcentral is "Actinobacteria bacterium partial 16S ribosomal RNA". It matches the Rfam family "Bacterial small subunit ribosomal RNA", at positions 355 to 776 of the family's 1533-position model. The record is from RNAcentral. Lineage: Bacteria; Bacillati; Actinomycetota; Actinomycetes.